CCUACGGGAGGCAGUAGUGAGGAAUAUUGGUCAAUGGCCGGAAGGCUGAACCAGCCAUGCCGCGUGAAGGUCAGUGCCCUAUGGGCGUUAAACUUCUUUUGUGCGGGAGCAAUAAUGGUCACGUGUGGCCAGACGAGAGUACCGUACGAAUAAGCAUCGGCUAACUCCGUGCCAGCAGCCGCGGUAAUACGGGGGAUGCAAGCGUUAUCCGGAUUUAUUGGGUUUAAAGGGUGCGUAGGCUGUGAGGUAAGUCAGCGGUGAAAUGCCCCCGCUCAACGGGGUGAAGUGCCAUUGAUACUGCCUGGCUGGAAUGCGGAUGCCGUGGGAGGAAUGUGUGGUGUAGCGGUGAAAUGCAUAGAUAUCACACAGAACACCGAUUGCGAAGGCAUCUCACGAAUCCGCGAUUGACGCUGAUGCACGAAAGCGUGGGUAUCAAACAGGAUUAGAUACCCCAGUAGUC
Molecule: ribosomal RNA, 460 nt
Filed under: uncultured bacterium
Lineage: Bacteria
Description: partial 16S ribosomal RNA
Rfam family: Bacterial small subunit ribosomal RNA
Source: RNAcentral